AGAGUUUGAUCAUGGCUCAGAUUGAACGCUGGCGGCAGGCCUAACACAUGCAAGUCGAGCGGUAGAGAGAAGCUUGCUUCUCUUGAGAGCGGCGGACGGGUGAGUAAUGCCUAGGAAUCUGCCUGGUAGUGGGGGAUAACGUUCGGAAACGGACGCUAAUACCGCAUACGUCCUACGGGAGAAAGCAGGGGACCUUCGGGCCUUGCGCUAUCAGAUGAGCCUAGGUCGGAUUAGCUAGUUGGUGAGGUAAUGGCUCACCAAGGCGACGAUCCGUAACUGGUCUGAGAGGAUGAUCAGUCACACUGGAACUGAGACACGGUCCAGACUCCUACGGGAGGCAGCAGUGGGGAAUAUUGGACAAUGGGCGAAAGCCUGAUCCAGCCAUGCCGCGUGUGUGAAGAAGGUCUUCGGAUUGUAAAGCACUUUAAGUCGGGAGGAAGGGUUGCAGAUUAAUACUCUGCAAUUUUGACGCUACCGACAGAAUAAGCACCGGCUAACUCUGUGCCAGCAGCCGCGGUAAUACAGAGGGUGCAAGCGUUAAUCGGAAUUACUGGGCGUAAAGCGCGCGUAGGUGGUUUGUUAAGUUGGAUGUGAAAUCCCCGGGCUCAACCUGGGAACUGCAUUCAAAACUGACUGACUAGAGUAUGGUAGAGGGUGGUGGAAUUUCCUGUGUAGCGGUGAAAUGCGUAGAUAUAGGAAGGAACACCAGUGGCGAAGGCGACCACCUGGACUAAUACUGACACUGAGGUGCGAAAGCGUGGGGAGCAAACAGGAUUAGAUACCCUGGUAGUCC
Molecule: ribosomal RNA, 793 nt
Filed under: uncultured bacterium
Lineage: Bacteria
Description: bacterial SSU rRNA
Rfam family: Bacterial small subunit ribosomal RNA
Source: RNAcentral